UUCCAGGUUCUGCGGAGCUUCGCGCCGGGGCUCUGCAUUUUCCUCGAGGUGCUUUAUAAAAGGAAUUAUUCUUCUAUCUUGGGGAAAUUUUGCAUCCUGGGUCCCGUCUCUGCUUCUCACGGGCAUCAGAUGCCCCAAGUGGGUUCGGUCCUCUCCGCGAGCUGGACUUCGGAAGCCCGCUUGCUUCCGGGUCAAGCCUUGAGCACUGAUGAGCUUGGCGAUUCAGACCCGGCUCGUUGUGGCUCAGAAUCGGGGUGUCCCAUGAUUAACGCGCACUUGGGCAAACUUCUUGAUAUACGGACCAGGGAACCGAGUACCCGAAGAAGGAUUCUUCAGGUCGCUGCCUCCCCAGUGUCCGAGCCAGUGCAGCGUGUUCCCCGGGAACUCACCCCCACCAUCCCCAGUUUCGGGUUCUUCCUGAGGAGAAGGUCAUCUCUGAGAACGCGACUCCGGUAUUGACGUCAUUUUAGCUACAUCAUUUACCUGAAGCACCCCUUGUCUGUUCCAGAGGAUGGCAACUAUGUAAAGGAGUGGAGUCCCUAGCCACAAGCCCCUCGCACCCGCUCCAUAAUGGGCUUCUCCAGCCCUUUUUGUUGAAGCGAUGAAGAAAGAGGUGACAUGUGAAAACUUUUCUGUAGGGAAGAUCCUUCCCUCUUGAAGACAGUCUGCAUUUUAUGGAGAGUGGAUCGGAGGUCCAGAGAGUCUGAAGACUGCUGCACAGGGAAGGGGUGAUGAAGCCAGGGCCAGACCAAGGUCCUUGGGCUCUCUUCACUCACCUUGUCUAUGCGAAGAGGAUGAAGGUUUAUUGAUAUGCCAGGAACGCCUAAAGCAAAUGCAGAGUGAUAGAAACAGACGAUAUCCUGCAAACCUUGAUAAGGAAACUGAAGCUCAAGAUAGGAUGCUUUUUGCCCAUCACUUCCACUUUAUCUCUGGGUCCUGGCAAGUUGGUGUGACCCAAGGGCCAAAGCGCAACAUGGUGGCUCCCAGGACACCAAAUAUCCGAUAUGUUCGGUCUUCAGUCAUUUGUUUCAAUGUCACUUACAUCAUACACACAUAUGGCUUAAAACCAGUUUAAAAUAUUUAGCACAGUCUGUAUCUUUUUAUCUUAAUGCUUUAAUGACCACAAUUUCUUUGAAACUGGUCUGGUUCAACCCCAGAGGGGGCUGGUUCUAGCACUUAGAAGAGAGACCGGCCAAUGUGUGGCAGUGUUCCAUCUUUUAGAGGUUCCUUACUUUAUUCAAAUUACUACUCAUUGAGAGCAUCAGUAAAAGCCUUUCUCCCUCGCUCCCCAUGCAUGCUUAACCUAAUUAACUAUAAAUGAGGAAAAUGCUAUCCACAUUAAAAGAAAAUGUUAGCCUAUAAAUUAUCCCACUCUUUCUGGUGAGGCUAAGAACUCCUUUAUAAAGCUCAACCAGGGGCAGACUCUCUGUUUAUGUGCUUCCCGUGCUCUCCCUCACUAGAAUGGGCUACAGAAUUCUUAGUUCAUGGUGGGUCUCUUCCUCUUAUUGAUUAUGAUGCUAAGCAUAUUUUCUCAAGUUGUUUCCCUUUGUGUUUGCUUAAAUAUUCUCACGAAACUUGAAUAACGAAGCAGAAUGCCUCUAAAAUGCCCUCAGGUGCUCCCUGGGGUAGAAAAGUAGCAAGUGACACCCUAGAUUUGUCCUAUCAGUACAGGAAAGACUGCUCAUCACCUGCUUCUAUAGGCAGAUGCAGUCAUAGAAAACCAGAAGUCUUGAAAGCCCCAGUCCACAGACCCCAAAAUAUUCUCUCUCUGGCUGAUGCCACUCAACCUUCCACACCUGCUGCCCUCCUUCUGAGCCACUCCAUUAGAUAAGUCAACACAUAUAGGGAAAGUUCUUCUGAAAACUCUUGUUAGAAGGAGUGCCCAUUAACACUUUACUCUGAAAGCCCAGAUUAAUUUAUCAAGUUAUCCUAGCUUUAACCUUUGAGAGCUGAGGGCAGGUCUCUGGCAGAAUUAGAGCGUGCAGCAGGAAAUUGGUUAUGGGGCAGGAGAAGAGGCUGGGAAUGUAGAUCACCCACAGGGGGAGCUGUCAGGAAAAGACCUUGAGCAACUCGUGGACUCGAGGGGAGGCCAAGUGUCAGGGACAAAGCAGAGACGACAAGCGGCAGCAGUGCCCAGAGCAGAGUACCCGCUCUUCAACUUCGUUCAUAGUUGUCCCUGCUUUUAAUACACAUGAUAUAUUAGGAGGUUGUAGUAACUUAGGAAAAGGCAGCAAAUGGACAAUUUCUGAUUCUCUUCUCUAUGAUGCCCUCACUCCUGUGUACCUUUGCUGCAGAGUUUAUAACAAACCCUAGUUUAUCCCUGAAGCUCUAGGGGAAACUCUAAAUUUUGGGGGUAUUAGUAGGAGGUCCCUGCCUCCAGCCUUGCUGUGGAUUUACACCUCCGUUUCUACCCUGGGCUCUGUGUGAUGGGCAGCGGAGGAAGUUGUGAUCGGGCCACUGGGGGAUGUCUGAGCCAGGCAGGCUUAACAUCCACAUCUGUAGUCAAUUCUUGAUUAUCCACACCAAUGGUCUGUGACCCAGGCCCAGGUAAUCCCAAAUAAUUGACAAUCCAAAAGGAAUUUCUCUUUGGUCUUGGAAUAUGCUCUGAUUUUUCCAGCUGCGGAUUUCUUUCUCCCACGUAUGCUUUCCUUGGUAGGAUAUGAAAAAUCAUUUAUGUUCUUUUAGCUGGACACUUGGUCUGAGCAAUGGCUUGAAGUCAGCUUCGGACUGAAAAUUUGCCUACUCCAUAGACAAAUGAUUCCCUUGCAGGCAGUUGGAUUUGACAGUAUCAUAUAUUGCAUAAAGAAUAAUCUGUGCAGGUUUCUGUGGUUCAUUCAUUCAUUCAUUCACCCGUUUGACACACAUGCAUUCAGCUCCUACUCUGUUCUAGCCACUAUACCAUGAAUUAGGGGUUUAGAGAUGAAAGAUUGAGUGCCAGCUCUUGAGGGAUAUUCCUUCUACUGGGGCUCAGUGGAAUAGAUUUUAGUAUCUUCCUCUGCAUCUGCCUGUACCUAUUACAUAUUCCCUUAUCACUCCCAUCUUCAGCUUAGCAUCUAUCUAGGCUUCCAUUUAAAAGUUUCAGAAGAGCUAUAGGUGAUUGUCGGGUUGGGCAGGGCCUCCCAGAGAUGGAAAGAACAAGAACCUAGAGUGCUCCCAUUUCUGAGGAUCCUUAAAUACGAAAGAGGAGAUGCCAAAACAGGGGUAUACAUACAUGGUAAAUUUUAAUUGUUUAAAUUUUAAAAAUUAAUAUAUUAUCCUUCCAAAAGUAUAGUGUUUCUAUAACUUUAUUUGAAGAAAAUGUCAAAAAUAUAAAUUUC
Long non-coding RNA from Aethalodelphis obliquidens (Pacific white-sided dolphin), 3317 nucleotides. RefSeq lists it as uncharacterized. Lineage: Eukaryota; Metazoa; Chordata; Mammalia; Artiodactyla; Delphinidae. The transcript has 3 exons. The record is from RefSeq and is a predicted model, not a curated record.